GUGAGGAAUAUUGGACAAUGGGCGCAAGCCUGAUCCAGCAAUGCCGCGUGGGUGAAGAAGGUCUUCGGAUCGUAAAGCCCUUUCGACAGGGACGAUGAUGACGGUACCUGUAGAAGAAGCCCCGGCUAACUUCGUGCCAGCAGCCGCGGUAAUACGAAGGGGGCUAGCGUUACUCGGAAUUACUGGGCGUAAAGGGCGCGUAGGCGGCUCUGUUAGUCAGGCGUGAAAUUCCUGGGCUUAACCUGGGGACUGCGCUUGAUACUGCAGGGCUUGAGGCCGAGAGAGGGUGGUGGAAUUCCCAGUGUAGAGGUGAAAUUCGUAGAUAUUGGGAAGAACACCGGUGGCGAAGGCGACCACCUGGCUCGGUUCUGACGCUGAGGCGCGACAGCGUGGGGAGCAAACAGGAUUAGAUACCCUAGUAGUCC
This 425-nucleotide ribosomal RNA is filed under the name uncultured bacterium. RNAcentral describes it as "partial 16S ribosomal RNA". It matches the Rfam family "Bacterial small subunit ribosomal RNA", at positions 354 to 796 of the family's 1533-position model. The record is from RNAcentral.